RNAcentral lists this ribosomal RNA (364 nucleotides) under Agrocybe pediades. RNAcentral's name for it is "partial small subunit ribosomal RNA". The record is from RNAcentral. Lineage: Eukaryota; Fungi; Basidiomycota; Agaricomycetes; Agaricales; Agrocybaceae.
CCUUACUAUAAGUGUUGUCUAAGCAUGGCUGUCGUCAAGACUCAAUAACACCAGAAACGCGAACGUUAGUCGUCUUAAACAGGCGUAAAGAGUGAGUAGGCAGCUUACAAAUUUUUAAAUUAAGCUAAGCUAAAUAAUUUAACAGAACAAAUUCCCUUAAAAGGUCUGAAACAAUAGAACCUGUUAAAUUAUCUUUAUCUCUCUUCUUGUCUUUUGCUUUUACUUAGUAAAAGUUAAGAGUCGCCUUUUGCGAAGUAAGUGAGAUUUUUAUUAAUUUAAAGAAAAUAAAAGCUAGAAUCUUAUAGAGGAUUAACCAAAUAAUACUUAUGUGUAGGGAUGAGAUCCGAAGAUACUAAGUAGAAUA